RNAcentral lists this ribosomal RNA (426 nucleotides) under uncultured bacterium. Its description in RNAcentral is "bacterial SSU rRNA". It matches the Rfam family "Bacterial small subunit ribosomal RNA", at positions 356 to 773 of the family's 1533-position model. The record is from RNAcentral.
GGGGAAUUGUUCGCAAUGGGCGCAAGCCUGACGACGCAACGCCGCGUGGAGGAUGAAGAUCUUCGGGUCGUAAACUCCUUUCGAUCGAGACGAAUGGCCUCUGGGUGAACAAUCCAGGGGAAUGACGGUACCGAGAGCAGACGCCCCGGCUAGCUCCGUGCCAGCAGCCGCGGUACUACGGGGGGGGCAAGCGUUGUUCGGAAUUACUGGGCGUAAAGGGCUCGUAGGUGGCCAACUAAGUCAGACGUGAAAUCCCUCGGCUUAACCGGGGAACUGCGUCUGAUACUGGAUGGCUUGAGUUUGGGAGAGGGAUGCGGAAUUCCAGGUGUAGCGGUGAAAUGCGUAGAUAUCUGGAGGAACACCGGUGGCGAAGGCGGCAUCCUGGACCAAUACUGACGCUGAGGAGCGAAAGCCAGGGGAGCAAAC